AACGAACGCUGGCGGCAUGCCUAACACAUGCAAGUCGAACGAGACCUUCGGGUCUAGUGGCGCACGGGUGCGUAACGCGUGGGAAUCUACCCUUGGGUUCGGAAUAACUCAGAGAAAUUUGAGCUAAUACCGGAUGAUGUCGCAAGACCAAAGAUUUAUCGCCCAAGGAUGAGCCCGCGUAGGAUUAGCUUGUUGGUGAGGUAAAAGCUCACCAAGGCGACGAUCCUUAGCUGGUCUGAGAGGAUGAUCAGCCACACUGGGACUGAGACACGGCCCAGACUCCUACGGGAGGCAGCAGUGGGGAAUAUUGGACAAUGGGCGAAAGCCUGAUCCAGCAAUGCCGCGUGAGUGAUGAAGGCCUUAGGGUUGUAAAGCUCUUUUACCCGGGGAUGAUAAAUGACAGUACCGGGAGAAUAAGCCCGGCCUAAUCCGUGCCAGCAGCCGCGGUAAU
Molecule: ribosomal RNA, 451 nt
Filed under: uncultured bacterium
Lineage: Bacteria
Description: bacterial SSU rRNA
Rfam family: Bacterial small subunit ribosomal RNA
Source: RNAcentral